UACGGGGGGGGCAAGCGUUGUUCGGAAUUACUGGGCGUAAAGGGUUUGUAGGUGGCUUGUUAAGUCAGACGUGAAAUCCCUCAGCUUAACUGGGGAACUGCGUCUGAGACUGGUGAGCUUGAGUGCAGGAGAGGAACGCGGAAUUCCAGGUGUAGCGGUGAAAUGCGUAGAUAUCGUAAGGAAGACCAGUGGCGAAGGCGAGUCUCUGGACAGUUACCGACGCUGAGGCACGAAGGUCAGGGGAGCAAACGGG
RNAcentral lists this ribosomal RNA (253 nucleotides) under uncultured bacterium. Its description in RNAcentral is "partial 16S ribosomal RNA". It matches the Rfam family "Bacterial small subunit ribosomal RNA", at positions 524 to 776 of the family's 1533-position model. The record is from RNAcentral.